This 3092-nucleotide long non-coding RNA is filed under the name Sus scrofa (pig). RNAcentral's name for it is "lncRNA (ENSSSCG00015064557.1)". The record is from RNAcentral. Lineage: Eukaryota; Metazoa; Chordata; Mammalia; Artiodactyla; Suidae.
CCCCUUCCCCACCAUCUCUUUUUUCACUCCUUUGCCUUCUCUUCAUGCUUCCCUGGCUUAAGACCCUUGUACCAACAUUGUUUAUUCCUGCAUAUGGCCAAAGAGUUGCUGACCUCUGCCUUCCCUCAUGAAAUUUUCAAACACACCUGCUCCUGUGCCUUGCAAAUGAGUCCUAUCUGAACCUCCAAUCACACCAGGGUGCCAAGCAUCCCUAGCUGCAGAAUAUCUGGUCUCCAGGCAACCAGAGAGGAGCAUUCCAUCUUCAGAAAAGGUACUAAGUGCUCUCUUGCCCUGAAAGCCCUCUAAAGUUGAAGGCAAGGGUUUGGAAGAGAUUCAAAUCAAACUCUCUAUAAGCUGGGCUCCCUCUGGUGAUAAAUGACUUUAAAAAAGGAAACAAGAGGGUAGCUAAGGAGGAUAUCAACUCUCAUUCGCCAACACAUGAUAAUAUAGAGAUGUCAGAAAUAAAUAAUUGGUCUAAAGCUGCACUGGCUAAUUUGAUAACCAUUAGCCACAGGUGGCUAUUCAAAUUUAAACUGAUACAAAUUUAAUUAAAGUUUCAUUCCCCAGGCACAAUAGCCACAUUUCAAGUUCUCAGUAGCCACAUGUAGCUGCACUGGAAAGGACUGCAGAUGCAGAAAUAGGGAGAAAUAGAGAGAGAGGGAAAAAGGAAGAGAAGAAAUGAGACAUUUGGUAUUACUCACAUCCUUUUGGGUAAUCAGGAGAUAAAGACAGAGAAGGAAAGACAGAGAAAGAAAAGAAAACAUAAAUAAUUGAAAGAGAAUAAAACUGCAGGUCUGAGAUCAAGACUUUUUCCUCCCAGCUUUAUACAUUCUAAGAGACAUGUGAAUAAUGUGAGAGGAGCACACUUUCCCAAGCACUUGAUUUUAAGAGCCUGUCUUGGGUGUAAGUAAACUGAGUAUGGAGGCUCACCUCUAUGGGAGGCUAGAGUUCUUGCAGCCAAUUAGUUGCUUUGACCUGAAUCGACUCAUUUUCAUUUAGAUGUUUUCUUGCAACCUACCAACGAGCAUCUUGUAUCACCCCCCCACCUGCCCUUUCCUCUAAAUCUGAGAAUGACUAUGGCAAUGGGGAUAGAACAGCACAUGUAUUAGAAGUGAAGAGCAUUACUGAGAAUUUAGAGACUAUGUCUAGUUUGGAGGAACCCAAGGGAACUUCAAGAAAAGUAAUCAGAGUGAGUAGGAAAGAAUACAUAAUGCAAAUUAUUCCCUCCAGGAACUUUACUUCAAAAAGAACAAGUGCAUUUCCCUGAAGGACACCAGUACUGUCAAAUGUAACUGUUCACCAUGCUUCUCCAAGGCACCAAAUGGGCUUUUAAGUCACAUUCCUGCAGGUUUAACCAUGGAUUCAAAAUAGAAACUGUAAAUUUGCUCUCUAAGUUUGUAUUGACAUGCAGAUAGUAUUGGGGUUAUUGUGUGGCCUCACUAGGAUAUCUGCUUAUAAUUUAAUGAGAGAUUUGGUAAAAAUGGAAUGGUUGACAUCACAGAGGUUUCAGCAUUUUUGACCCUCUAUUUUAUGUGGUGAACUCCAAGACCAACUGAGAUCAAAACUUCUGGCAGCCUCUGAAAAUAUCUGCUGAAGAUAUUUGUGGAAUAUAAGCUUAUCCUACAAAUUAACAACAAUAAUAAAGAUAUAAUAUUCAUUUAUAUUCCCUUAGAAUUAAUGAGCCAUUUCAUUGUCUUAGCUAUUUCCUUGAAGGGGAGAGAACAGGUCAAAGCACAACCACUUCCAUAAAACAGAAAACCGCUCCUAUUUUAUGACACACUGAUGGAAAAAGAACAGGCCUAAAAGUUCUUCCACCCUUCACCUCUGUACCUUCAGUUCCCAAAUACCAUUUCUGCGAUAGAUAGAUGAUAGAUGGAUAGAUAGACAGAUAGAUAGAUAGAUAGAUAGAUAGAUAGAUAGAUAGAUAAAUAGCACCAAGAAUACACAGAUAGCUAACACAUAAUCCAUGCACUGAGGUGACUCAAAGUUAAAUGGGAGACAUACAUUUAUAACGCAUUACGAUGACUGUGGUAGCGUCAGAAACUAAUUGCUUUAGGAGUACAGAGGAAGAAGUAAUUAAUUCUCCCUGAGGGUUUAGAGGAAGAUUCAUGAACAAACCUGUGCUGCUCUGCAAUGUCACUACACAUCCAGAAGCCAAUGGGAGUGAAGUCAAGGGCAAAGUGGGUAAGGACCAGACACUGUACGCCCAUAGAUGACCCCUCUCCUAUUAUAGUGCACCCCAACAAGGUUAUCUAUCCACACAUAUUGUUUCCAACUAAACCAACACUUUUCCUGGUUCUUGACAUCAACACUUAAGGAGUUAAAGCUCCUCUCCAGAACUAUUGCUUUGAAAGCAGCCUUUAUACCUCUACUGAGUAGAGAGCAGUCAGUCAUUAGAGCCACAAAGAGCCAUGCACUCAGGAACACAUAUACACACCCUACUUAAAUGUAUAUAUGCAUGCAUGCAUGUAUGUAUGCAUAUAUAUAUAUGCAUAUUAAGUAAAUGAUAUACAAAUAUAUGAAGUAAAUAUAUACAGGUAUUAUUAAAUACCUGAGUAGGUAGCUCUUUGCUAGGGCUCAAGGAAUAAAAAUCAGCAUAAGACAUUUGCCUAUAAAAAGUUUGUAGUACAGUGAAGUAUAUGGCAUGCCCUACCAUAGUCAUUGCUAGCACAAAGGGGAAAGACAAGGGCAUUUUGUAAUACUAUCUUCAGCUCAAGCUGCUACCAAGAAAGCUGGGAAAUAACAUUAUGAGAUAAUCCAGUCUUCCCCACCUGUAAGUACCAACUAACAAAUAAAAAGUUUAUGUAAAUAAAAGGAACUACCACUAAAUAUUAAUAGAUCCAAUAUAUUCAGCCCAUGACCACCAGGAAGCUGCAUUCUCUCAGCAGUGUCUUAUUUAAGGUUGAUGCUGUCUUCCUAGCCACAUAAAUCACUCUAAGAGAGAAUAGAGUUUUUCCCUGUGGAGUCUGUGAUUACAGACAGGUAUCCCAGUUUGGGAUCAGGAAAGCCCUCGUUCUAAACUAAACAUGGCUACAGAAGUAGUUGAUUGCCUUUGGCUGUUUUUGUUUCCUCAUCUAAAAGAGAAGCCCUGG